GUGAAUCAUCAAAUUUUUGAACGCAAAUUGCACUCUCUGGUAUUCCGGAGAGUAUGCCUGUUUGAGGGUCAGUUUAAAUAAAAAUCGGUGUGGUUGCUGCCUUUCGUGGUGACGCACCGGAUGUGGGUCGUCUUGCCUUCGGUUAAGUGACUUAAAAUUUUUGAAUGAUAUCUGAACGUAUUUAAAUUUAUUUGGUACGUCUUGUAAUAUCGAAUGUUUAUUAGAAGUGGUCAUCCUCAUGACUCACGUCUAUAAUUUUUCAUCUAAUGACCUCAAAUCAGGUAAGAGUACCCGCUGAA
RNAcentral lists this unclassified non-coding RNA (299 nucleotides) under Glomeromycetes sp. Its description in RNAcentral is "partial contains 5.8S ribosomal RNA, internal transcribed spacer 2, and large subunit ribosomal RNA". The stretch from base 1 to 71 matches the Rfam family "5.8S ribosomal RNA", at positions 84 to 154 of the family's 154-position model. The record is from RNAcentral. Lineage: Eukaryota; Fungi; Glomeromycota; Glomeromycetes.